Molecule: ribosomal RNA, 327 nt
Filed under: uncultured eukaryote
Lineage: Eukaryota
Description: partial 18S ribosomal RNA
Rfam family: Eukaryotic small subunit ribosomal RNA
Source: RNAcentral
CCCUUAGAUGUUCUGGGCCGCACGCGCGCUACACUGACGAAUGCAACGAGCUUAUAACCUUGGCCGAAAGGUCUGGGUAAUCUCCAAAUUUCGUCGUGAUGGGGAUAGAUUAUUGCAAUUAUUAAUCUUCAACGAGGAAUGCCUAGUAAGCGCAAGUCAUCAGCUUGCGUUGAUUACGUCCCUGCCCUUUGUACACACCGCCCGUCGCUCCUACCGAUUGAAUGGUCCGGUGAAGCGUUCGGACCGUGGCCUUUGGACGGUUCGCCGUCUGUUGGCUGCGGGAUGUUCGUUAAACCUUAUCAUUUAGAGGAAGGAGAAGUCGUAACA